Molecule: long non-coding RNA, 2593 nt
Filed under: Sus scrofa (pig)
Lineage: Eukaryota; Metazoa; Chordata; Mammalia; Artiodactyla; Suidae
Description: lncRNA (ENSSSCG00030018908.1)
Source: RNAcentral
CUCCUUCCAAAAUGUUCCCAGUAACUCUCAAGCUUCUGCUCUAACACAUAAACUCUUCCACCUUUAUCCUAGAGGAUAGCAAACUCCAGCCUGUGGGCCAAAUUUAGUCUGAUGUCUUUUUUUUUUUUUUUAAAUGGACACCCCCACUGCAAAUGGAUGUUCCCAGGCCAGGGAUUGAAAACCAGCCACAACUGUGGCAACACUGGAUCUUUUACCCCACUACGCCAGCCCAGGGAUCAAACCCACACCUCUGCAGUGACCCAAGCCACCACAGUCAGAUUCUUAACCCACUGGGAUACAGUGGGAACCCCUAAUGUCUUUUUUGUACAGUCCUCAGGCUGAGAAUAAAUUUCACAUUUUUUAAGAUGGUUGGGGGGGAAAUCAAAAUAAAAAUCUUUGGUGACAUGUAAAUAUCAUAUGAAAUUAAAUUUCAGUGGCCACAAAGAGUUUUUAUUGGAACAUAGCUGCUCUCAUUCAAUUUUGUAUUGUAUGGCUGCUUUCAUGCUACAAUGGCAAGGAUCUCUAUGACUUCACAAAGCUGAAAAUAUAAGGGCUGACCUGUCUGUGUCCUGGAGGUCCAGGCACAACCCUGACAUCAGCCCUAACCUCCCUUUGUCUUGUUUCUUUCCAUCCUUUGCCCUUGAAUGUUUAGUUCUCCCCCCGCACAGGUGUUCUCAUGCCAGGACGACCUGAAGCUCCCCCUCUCCUCCUAGGCUCUAUCGCUAUGACUGCCUAUCCCACUGCCCUUUCCCUGUGCCCUCUGUCCCUGUCCACAGUAGUAAGGCCAUGCUUACCCCUCUUCUUCAAAGCUUUCUCUAGUUCUUCACCUUUACUCAAAAUCCUGGCUCUCCUCGGAAGAUGCCUCACAUCUGAGAGGCUCUUAGCUGGAGAAGGUAUAACCAAUGCCCACUCAACACUGAGUUUGAAAAAAAAAAAAAAAAGAUGGCAUUAUUCUUACACCCUCUGUCCCCACUUCUAAGUCACUGCUUCUUCACUUACCCAUCAAAACCUUUCCUUUUGGGCCAUGAUUUCUGGCUUCCCUCUUGCUCUUCCUAUCCCCGUCAUUAGACUCACUAUGGAUCUUGCACAUGCAGCAUUUUGGUACUUGGCUUGUAAAAUCCCUCUCCUAGUCACCCCAUUAUCAUUUAUUCAGGAUCCUAGUCUUAGAAUUGCUUUGCUUCCUCCUAAUGGAAAAGACUUCUCUCUACUCAAGCAAUCCUCAGAGUCCAUGGCAAUCAAUAGACGUCAAUGGCCCAGAACAGCUCUGCCCUACCAAUCUUAAACUCCAGAAAUCUUCACCUCUGACCAUAACUUGCUGCUCGUUUAGGUCUCUUGUUCUCUUAUUCCCAGGAUAUUUACUGGGCAGCGAUACUCCCAGCAUCCUCUGGUUUCGGUUUCUUCCCUAGCCAGCUUAGACCACACGCUCAUUAUCUCACCACUGCCUUCAUCUUUGACACCUUCUCUUUGCACUGAACAAAACUCCAAAGCUCCAGCCCAGCCAACUGAUAAGCACAGAAAGAAUACUUCAGAAAAGCUGUAUUUUGUAACCAUCAUAAUAAUUGACAUAUGCAAGGAUCAUCAAUAGAUGCUAAAACUUCUAGGUGGAAAUUGAAACAGGAUAUUUAGGUAGUUACAUAAUUUCCCAGGUUCUAUCUCCCCACAAAAUUACUGUUAAUUUUUUUUAUUCUUGUCUUUUUAGGACCACACCUGUGGCAUAUGGAGGUUCAGAAUCAUCCAGAGAACUUUUUUAAAACCUACCUGCCCACGACAAAACACAGACUGGGUGAAAAUAUUUGCAAACUACAUGUCUGUUAAAGGACUUAUACUCAGAUAACCAAAGAGUCCUCAAAACUAAAUAAGAAAACAAACAACUCAAUUUGAAAAAUGGGUCAAAGAUUUAAAUAGAUCAUUCACUGAAGGAGACAUACCCAUGGCAUAUAAGCAUAUGAAAAGAUGCUCAGCCUCAUUUGUCAUUAAGGAAAUAGAACUUAAGACAAGAUAUCACUACACAUGAAUUAGAACAGCUAAAAUUCCCAAAUCUGACAAUAUCAAAUUCUAGCAAGGAUGCAGAGCAAGAAUCUAUCACUGCUGCUGGGAAUGCAAAAUGGUAUACCCACUCUGGAAGACGGUUUGGCAGUUUGUUACAAUGCUAAACAGAGACCUACUGUGCCAUCCAGCCACUGCUGCCCUUGACACUGACCCAACUGACUGGAAAACUUACAACUGCACAAAAACACACACGUAAAAGUUUAUAGUAACUUCAUUCAUAAUCACAAAAAAUUGGAAGCAAGCAAGAUAUCCUUCAACAAAUAAAUGGAUAAACAAAUUGCAUCCAUACUACUACAUUCAUACUACAGAAUAUUACUCAGCUAUCAAAGGGGGAUGAACUACUAAUUCAUGCAACAACAUGGAAGAAUCUUAAAUCAUAUUGAUAAGUUAAAGGAUCCAGUUUCAAAAGACUGCAUAAUGUAUGAUUCCAUUCAUAUCACAUUUUGGAAAAGGGAACACUAUAAAGAUGAAAAACAAGUUAAACUCGCCAGAAGUUUUGGGAGGGAAGAGUACUGACUAGGUGAAGCACCAGAGAGUUCUUAGG